Mercurialis annua (annual mercury) is the source of this 700-nucleotide long non-coding RNA. RefSeq lists it as uncharacterized. The transcript is spliced from 3 exons. NCBI's taxonomy places the organism in Eukaryota, Viridiplantae, Streptophyta, Magnoliopsida, Malpighiales, Euphorbiaceae. The record is from RefSeq and is a predicted model, not a curated record.
GGACUAAGAGAGACAUUUUGACCACUUAUUAUCAUCAUUAAUGAAUGAAUAUUCAUUCAUUUCAAACAUAAUUUACAGCAAGAAGAAGAUGAAAUCCGUAACCCCUUUUCUCCCAAAUCCUCCCAACUUCAAAUCUUCAUAACUUCUUCGUUUCUCAACGAAAUUUAGCGAUUCUUGCGGCCACGGAACGAGGAAAGGAUUAUCUAAAGAUCCAUGGCUUCAAUUUGAGGUAAUAAACUCAAAUUACAGUUUGGGUUUCAGGUUUAAUAUUUCGGUUUUGUUAGUUUUAAUGGUGAUUGUUGUGUUUGGUUGUUAUAUCUUGUGUAUGAGCUUGGAUUAAGAGAAUUCAUGAAGGUUUUUGAUGGCUAAGGUUCGGCCAAGAAGACAUCAUUAAGACUCGAAGAAGCGACUAUCGAUAAGGCUCGAGGCGAACGGAUCGAGAUGUCUUCGUAUUUAUUUGAAGAAUUUGGAUAGCAAGUGGGAUAGUAUGAUAUGAUUUGAAGAGUAAAGCUUCCGAAGUUUUAAUUCUCGGAAGUUAUUUGCACAAGAAGUAAAAGAAGGUUUUCAUUCUAGCGGUCCGCAGUAGUCCAGAUGUUUUUGUCUAUGUAUUUGUAUAACGCAAUUUCACUCUGAUGUUUUUGUAAAAUGGGGUCACAUUUAUUUUGAUAUAUGAAAUAUGAGUUGUUUUGCGAAAAAUUUA